UGGUGAUUUCAGUUCCAGGUUGGAUGGUGUUUUCAGUUCCAGGUUGGAUGGUGAUUUCAGGUUCCAGGUUGGAUGUUGAUUUCAGGUUGGAUGGUGUUUUCAGUUCCAGGUUGGAUAAGUGAUUUCAGGUUCCAGGUUGGAUGGUGAUUUCAGGUUGGAUGUUGUUUUCAGUUCCAGGUUGGAUGGUGAUUUCAGGUUCCAGGUUGGAUGGUGAUUUCAGGUUGGAUGGUGUUUUCAGGAUCCAGGUUGGAUGGUGUUUUCAGUUCCAGGUUGGAUGGUGUUUUCAGUUCCAGGUUGGAUGGUGUUUUCAGGUUCCAGGUUGGAUGGUGUUUUCAGUUCCAGUGUGGAUGGUGAUUUUAGGUUCCAGUUUGGAUGGUGAUUUCAGGUUGGAUGGUGUUUUCAGGUUCCAGGUUGGAUGGUGUUUUCAGUUCCAGGUUGGAUGUUGAUUUCAGGUUCCAGGUUGGAUGGUGAUUUCAGGUUGGAUGGUGAUUUCAGGUUUCAGGUUUGAUGGUGUUUUCAGUUCCAGGUUGGAUGGUGUUUUCAGGAUCCAGGUUGGAUGGUGUUUUCAGGUUCCAGGUUGGAUGGU
Molecule: long non-coding RNA, 586 nt
Filed under: Oncorhynchus mykiss (rainbow trout)
Lineage: Eukaryota; Metazoa; Chordata; Actinopteri; Salmoniformes; Salmonidae
Description: lncRNA (ENSOMYG00000066866.1)
Source: RNAcentral